UGUCCUCCAUAGGAGGUCUAUAUUGAGCAGAUUCUUUCUGGUGUUGGGUGGUGGAACCGGAGCGUGCUCCAUCCACUCCAUGCAUUGACCUGGUAUUGCAGUGCUUCCAGGACCGGUGC
Molecule: small nuclear RNA, 119 nt
Filed under: Crocodylus porosus (Australian saltwater crocodile)
Lineage: Eukaryota; Metazoa; Chordata; Crocodylia; Crocodylidae
Description: U2 spliceosomal RNA (ENSCPRG00005011163.1)
Rfam family: U2 spliceosomal RNA
About the family: U2 is a small nuclear RNA (snRNA) component of the spliceosome (involved in pre-mRNA splicing).
Source: RNAcentral